Molecule: ribosomal RNA, 497 nt
Filed under: uncultured bacterium
Lineage: Bacteria
Description: partial 16S ribosomal RNA
Rfam family: Bacterial small subunit ribosomal RNA
Source: RNAcentral
GAUGAACGCUGGCGGCGUGCCUAAUACAUGCAAGUCCAGCGAACAGACGUGGAGCUUGCUCCUCUGACGUUAGCGGCGGACGGGUGAGUAACACGUGGAUAACCUACCUAUAAGACUGGGAUAACUUCGGGAAACCGGAGCUAAUACCGGAUAAUAUAUUGAACCGCAUGGUUCAAUAGUGAAAGACGGUUUUGCUGUCACUUAUAGAUGGAUCCGCGCCGCAUUAGCUAGUUGGUAAGGUAACGGCUUACCAAGGCAACGAUGCGUAGCCGACCUGAGAGGGGGAUCGGCCACACUGGAACUGAGACACGGUCCAGACUCCUACGGGAGGCAGCAGUAGGGAAUCUUCCGCAAUGGGCGAAAGCCUGACGGAGCAACGCCGCGUGAGUGAUGAAGGUCUUCGGAUCGUAAAACUCUGUUAUUAGGGAAGAACAAAUGUGUAAGUAACUAUGCACGUCUUGACGGUACCUAAUCAGAAAGCCACGGCUAACUACGUG